CGGCGGACGGGUGAGUAAUGGCUGGGAACCUGCCUGGUAGAGGGGGAUAACCACUGGAAACGGUGGCUAAUACCGCAUGAUGUCUUUGGACCAAAGAGGGGGACCUUAUGGCCUCUCGCUACCGGAUGGGCCCAGUUGGGAUUAGCUAGUUGGUGGGGUAAAGGCUCACCAAGGCGACGAUCCCUAGCUGGUUUGAGAGGAUGAUCAGCCACACUGGAACUGAGACACGGUCCAGACUCCUACGGGAGGCAGCAGUGGGGAAUAUUGCACAAUGGGCGCAAGCCUGAUGCAGCCAUGCCGCGUGUGUGAAGAAGGCCUUCGGGUUGUAAAGCACUUUCAGCCGUGAGGAAGGCAUUGUACUUAAUACGUGCAGUGUUUGACGUUAGCGGCAGAAGAAGCACCGGCUAACUCCGUGCCAGCAGCCGCGGUAAUACGGAGGGUGCGAGCGUUAAUCGGAAUUACUGGGCGUAAAGCGCAUGCAGGCGGUCUGUUAAGCAAGAUGUGAAAGCCCCGGGCUUAACCUGGGAAAGUCAUUUUGAACUGGCAGGCUAGAGUCUUGUAGAGGGGGGUAGAAUUUCAGGUGUAGCGGUGAAAUGCGUA
This 600-nucleotide ribosomal RNA is filed under the name Grimontia marina. RNAcentral's name for it is "bacterial SSU rRNA". It matches the Rfam family "Bacterial small subunit ribosomal RNA", at positions 96 to 692 of the family's 1533-position model. Lineage: Bacteria; Pseudomonadati; Pseudomonadota; Gammaproteobacteria; Vibrionales; Vibrionaceae. The record is from RNAcentral.